RNAcentral lists this transfer RNA (70 nucleotides) under Heliconius melpomene (postman butterfly). RNAcentral describes it as "tRNA HMEL005514". It matches the Rfam family "tRNA". Rfam says of the family: Transfer RNA (tRNA) molecules are approximately 80 nucleotides in length. Their secondary structure includes four short double-helical elements and three loops (D, anti-codon, and T loops). The record is from RNAcentral. Lineage: Eukaryota; Metazoa; Arthropoda; Insecta; Lepidoptera; Nymphalidae.
GCAUCGGUGGUUCAGUGGUAGAAUGCUCGCAUGCCACGCUGGCGGCCCGGGUUCGAUUCCCGGCCGAUCA